This 254-nucleotide ribosomal RNA is filed under the name uncultured bacterium. RNAcentral describes it as "partial 16S ribosomal RNA". It matches the Rfam family "Bacterial small subunit ribosomal RNA", at positions 524 to 776 of the family's 1533-position model. The record is from RNAcentral.
UACGGGGGGAGCAAGCGUUGUUCGGAUUUACUGGGCGUAAAGGGCGCGUAGGCGGCCACCGCAAGUCGGUUGUGAAAUCUCUGGGCUUAACCCAGAAAGGUCAACCGAUACUGCGGGGCUAGAGUGCAGAAGGGGCAACUGGAAUUCUCGGUGUAGCGGUGAAAUGCGUAGAUAUCGAGAGGAACACCUGCGGCGAAGGCGGGUUGCUGGGCCGACACUGACGCUGAUGCGCGAAAGCUAGGGGAGCAAAUGGG